GACGAACGCUGGCGGCGUGCUUAACACAUGCAAGUCGAACGGGAUAAUUUGAGAGCUUGCUCUUAGAGAAUCUAGUGGCAAACGGGUGAGUAACACGUAGACAACCUGCCGACAGGAUGGGGACAACAUUCCGAAAGGAAUGCUAAUACCGAAUGAAGCGGAGGAGAGGCAUCUCUCCUCCGUGAAAGAUGGCCUCUGAAUAUGCUAUCACCUGUCGAUGGGUCUGCGUCUGAUUAGCUAGUUGGUGAGGUAACGGCUCACCAAGGCGACGAUCAGUAGCCGGUCUGAGAGGAUGAACGGCCACAUUGGGACUGAGACACGGCCCAGACUCCUACGGGAGGCAGCAGUGGGGAAUCUUCCGCAAUGGGCGCAAGCCUGACGGAGCAACGCCGCGUGAGUGAAGAAGGUCUUCGGAUCGUAAAGCUCUGUUGACGGGGACGAACGUGCGAAGGGUGAAUAAUCCUUUGUAAUGACGGUACCUGUCGAGGAAGCCACGGCUAACUACGU
Molecule: ribosomal RNA, 507 nt
Filed under: uncultured bacterium
Lineage: Bacteria
Description: partial 16S ribosomal RNA
Rfam family: Bacterial small subunit ribosomal RNA
Source: RNAcentral